Molecule: small RNA, 29 nt
Filed under: Bombyx mori (domestic silkworm)
Lineage: Eukaryota; Metazoa; Arthropoda; Insecta; Lepidoptera; Bombycidae
Description: ovarian small RNA-32490
Source: RNAcentral
UGAUAGUGUCAACCCAAGUUAGCUUGGUC